Molecule: long non-coding RNA, 1251 nt
Organism: Lycium ferocissimum
Lineage: Eukaryota; Viridiplantae; Streptophyta; Magnoliopsida; Solanales; Solanaceae
Exons: 3
Source: RefSeq, a predicted model, not a curated record
UCCACCGCCCAAAGCCCCAAAUCUUUCAUAUCUUUAUUUUCUUUUUCUUUUUCUUUUAUUUCUUGUUGUCAAUGUUUACUUUUUCAUUUUCUCUGAUUUGUUUUUUAUUGGUCCCACAAUAUAACCAUAACGGGCAUCUAGCCUAAGUGAGCAUGUAGGAGUUGAUAUCCCAUCAAGACAUUUGCAUUUCCUUUCUGUCCAAACGCACCACAAAAUACAGGAAGGGGUCAUUCUGCCAAACUUUACUGAUGGAUAAAUCAAAUUUUCCAUGAAGACCAGCUUUAGUGUGCUUUUAAAUGAAUUGUUGUGCAGCAUAAGUCAUUUGCUGGUGACCUUAACAUGUGCGAUCACAUUCAGGAGUAACAUUUUGUUGAUUGAAGCACGCGGUUGAGUGUGAUCAAAAGGCAUGUUGACUGUCGAGAGCUUAGAAUUGUAUCCACUUGAUGUACUCGUGCCGUUUCAAGGUUCAGUUUUUAUUUUAAUCAUAAAUUUUAAGUGGGUACUUUCUCUCUUUGGUGGUGAUUUAUCAAAUGAGCUGAUAGCCAAAGUCAUCGAGUCUGGUGUAUACAAGGAUAUGGUGCAGUAAUUGUUUCUUCCUUCUCUCGCAGUCAGAAAAGUAUUAUGUUCUUUCACAAGGAAAAACACCUUCAUUUCUUCCUUCAAUAAAUAAUAAUGUUAUACGAUAUGUUGUCCGGUAAAGUUAAUGAAGAACAAUGAUUUUACAUCAAAAAUUGUUUCCCUUUCUCAUUCAAGAGCUUGUGUUGCGCAAAGCAGGUGCAGAUUGUCGUUUUGGGCUCAUGCACAUCACGGGAAACCUCAACUAGUAAUAGAAGAAAGUUUGGAUCAUAAUGCUUCAAUAAAAGUAAAUGGGUUUAGGACGAGUCCGCAGUGUUACACAUCAAUAGUUAAUUCAUGAUUUCAACCCACACUUGCCCUGCCUGAUGCACUCAGAAAGAUCAAGGAUGACUAUGGUUAAUCUAGGAGCUGAGCUCGAUAAGAAAAUGAUGGCCAAAUCAGGGUUUCACCGAGAUUAGCUAGAGUAGAAAGUACAGAGGAAGAAGAGGAAGAAACAGCAUGAUCUUAUUUCAUGUACAAUUACAUUUUUAUUUAUAGACUACCAAUUGAAAGAAUCAAUCUUGUUACUGCCCAACGAAAACAGAGUUAGCUGUGAGCAGUCACCAGAAAUUGCAUUUUUUUGGCUUGAUAUCACUCGUAAAUUGCAUAGUGAUUAUUUUUCAGGCUCUGAUACCA